RNAcentral lists this long non-coding RNA (1318 nucleotides) under Heterocephalus glaber (naked mole-rat). RNAcentral's name for it is "lncRNA (ENSHGLG00000047432.1)". The record is from RNAcentral. Lineage: Eukaryota; Metazoa; Chordata; Mammalia; Rodentia; Bathyergidae.
CUUGGCCCGUUGAUUUGCUAGGAGAAGCUUGCUGCAGAUGGUUUUCCUGAUGCUGUUGCGGUCGGAGGAGGAGCUCGGGGCCUCACUAUCUCUGGGAAUGGCUGCUGUUUCAUCAGGGGAGCUCCAACCUUUACCAUGAGCAUCACUUCCUGCCUCCAAUGUGGAUCCCUCACGUUGAUGGCGCAAAUUCUUCAUCUGACUGGAGUAGGUUUUCUGGCUUCCACAACUGGCCUUUGGGCUUCCAGGUGCAGAACUUCAAUAUGAACAAGAAUGAGACAUUGCCGUGGGCUCUAGACCACUGGCUGGACUUGAGCAGGAGAUUGCCUUGGACUCUAAGUCUUUAGCUGGAUUUGUGUGGGAAAUUGCUGGGAUCCAGGCCCUCAGCUGAAUCCUCUGGGCUUCUAGUGUGCAGUUACUCACUUUGCACUCCUUUGCAUUUGACUCUUUGGGCACAAUAAGAUGUUCGAAGUUCAUAUUAACACCUCCUCCAUGCCAGCCAUAGAACCGGCCAUUUUUCUAUGGAGCCCUAUCUUCUUUGGAAGAUUCCAUGCUAUAAGCCUACCCAAAAUGACAACGCCUGGCACCUAUGGAGGGCCUUUAGAUAGACCCUCUGUAGAGUAACUGACUGCUGAUCACAACUACAACUGAUCACAACUUCAGCCAGAAGUAGCCAGAAUGGUCUUUGCUCUUUGCCCCCUCACACCAGUUAGAGGUUCUUCAGAGGGGGGAAUAUUGCAGAUAGGUAAGUUUAUUAGAUAUCUUGUAGGCAGAUAGACAGAGCCAGCCCAGGAGGAGCCAACAUGGCAGACAAUCAAGACACAUUCACUGAAGGCCAGCAUUGUAAGAGAAGAGAAACUACUACACCCAGGUGCUUCCCCUAAGGAUAAAUAGGUAUCAGCCACAUGGGUGGGAGACAAAGAUCUUCCAGGAAAGAUCCUUGACCCACCCUUUUCCACUAAAAAUCCUUGCUCAUUCUUUGUAUGCUUGCUAUGUGACUUGUUUCCCCAUUGGAUCCCUAUUUAAUCAGUAUUACCUAAGCAACUAUACUUGUCAUAAUCUUAUUGGUUUUCAUAGUUUUGUCCACCUUGUGAUUUCUCUCAUUGGAUCAAUAUUACCUGGGUGACUGUACUUAUAAUCUUAUUGGUUGGCCAUGGUUUUGUCCCACCUCAUGCCUGCCUUGUAAAUUUCCAUUGGGCCUUAUAGUUUUGUCCCACUUUAUACCCACCUCACCACAUGACAUGGCUGUAUAAAACAUCUUUGAAAAGUGGGGUGGGCAGGCAAUCCACUUUCCAGUCCCCCUUCUGACUCUCUUAGAAGC